AAACCAAUAAAGUUUUCUUUAUUGGGGUUGCGGACAUAUCAUAACGAAGAGGUAUCGUAAUUGAAGAGGUUUGGAAAGACCCACCACAGAAGGUAAUAGUCCUGUAUGUUAAACGAGAAGACUUUAGAUAUGAUCCAGAGUACCACGGGACACGUGAAACCCUGUGGGAAGCAGGAGGGACCACCCUCCAAGGCUAAAUACUACCUAGUGACCGAUAGCGUAUAGUACCGUGAGGGAAAGGUGAAAAG
This 248-nucleotide ribosomal RNA is filed under the name Clostridioides difficile. RNAcentral describes it as "partial 23S ribosomal RNA". It matches the Rfam family "Bacterial large subunit ribosomal RNA", at positions 271 to 521 of the family's 2925-position model. The record is from RNAcentral. Lineage: Bacteria; Bacillati; Bacillota; Clostridia; Peptostreptococcales; Peptostreptococcaceae.